UACGUAGGGUGCAAGCGUUAUCCGGAUUCACUGGGUUUAAAGGGUGCGUAGGUGGAUUGGUAAGUCAGUGGUGAAAUCCCCGAGCUUAACUUGGGAACUGCCAUUGAUACUAUUAGUCUUGAAUACCGUGGAGGUCAGCGGAAUAUGUCAUGUAGCGGUGAAAUGCUUAGAUAUGACAUAGAACACCAAUUGCGAAGGCAGCUGGCUAGACGAAUAUUGACACUGAGGCACGAAAGCGUGGGGAUCAAACAGG
RNAcentral lists this ribosomal RNA (253 nucleotides) under uncultured bacterium. RNAcentral describes it as "partial 16S ribosomal RNA". It matches the Rfam family "Bacterial small subunit ribosomal RNA", at positions 524 to 776 of the family's 1533-position model. The record is from RNAcentral.